UGCACCCACAACACUAUAAAAAAGACUCAAGACAAUACACACGGAGGACGGACGAAAACCAGAAAAGAGAGACAACACUGCAAAAACGAAAACAAAAAAAAAAAAUGAAAAACACAUGGAGAAGAAAAAAGGGAGACAACACAAUACAUACACACAACAAAGACAACGUACAACAUUUGAAACAAAGAAAAGGGAAGAAAAGAAAGGAAAGAAAGGGUUGCGAAUCAAAUUUCGGGUCUCCGUUUGAGUUUUCGAUAACGACGUCAAUUUAGUUUUCUAUAUAGGUUUUAUUCGAUUUCAACAUUAUUUAUAUAUUUUUUUUUAUCACAAUUCAAAGUAUAAAUAAUAUCCUUUAAAUGGUAAUAUCCUUUAAAUGGUUUUAUGCAUCAUGUAGUAUGAAAAUUUAAUUAUUUAUGUGAGAUCUCAUCUUUAACAUUGUCCGUUCUUAAAUUUCAAUAUUACUUCCCAUUUACAUUUAGAUGGUAUCUACGUGACUUUGUGAUACCUUUUUUCUAUAUUAUUCAUUUUGUCGAGAAGUAAAAAAUGUAUAUAAGUAGAUAGCUAAUCAUUAAUUAUUUUUUUUAUUAUUGUUCGUUUAACAAAGAAUCUUCCAAAUAAGGAAAAUAUUAUGGCUUGUUUGGUAUAAAGGACCCCAGGCAGACGACUUUGAAAGAAGCAAAAAAAAAAAUAUUUUUCUCAAAAUAAAAAGUGACUUUAACAGAAAAUUGAUUUAAUAAAAAAUUGGGUCUUUAGUUGAUUUACUCUAUUAUUUCUAGUUGGGUUUGUUUUGGUAUAUUCUUAUGACAUAUUAUUAGUCACAUAAUAGCAACACUUAGAAUCAAUAGUGUGUAGAUUCAGUUACUUUUUUUUUUUUUUAAAACUUAUCUACCUUGAUAUUUAAAUUAAUUGAUCGUUACUCAUUUGUUUAAUAAUUUGAGAGAGGGAAUUUGGUUCUAGAUUAAUAUAUAAUGUCCGGGUAGUUUAGUUGUAAGUAGUGAGGAAGAUGGGUUACGGAUUUAUCUAAAAUUUGUCAUAAAUGAUAAAAGGAAAGAAAGGAAAAAUUGAUUUGAGGGAGCGAGGCGAGUUGCAGAAUAAUUCAAAACUCGUUGGAAAAUAAAGAGUGAAAAAAAAUAAAAAAUUGAAUAAGAUAAAACGUCUUGAGUUUACAAGAGCCGAAAUGAACGCCUUUUACGCUAGGUAAACUUUAGACCCGUUUAAAUUUUUCGUCUCAAUUAAGAAUGCGGCACAAGAGAGCAUAUUGUCCUCAAAUUUAAUAAAUUAUUUUUCCAAAUUUUUUUUAAAUUUUUAUAAAAUUAACUUUUCACCUAUUUAUUUAAUAUAAGAGAAUAGAUAAGUUUUAGAAUAAUAAAAAUGAGCAAUUUUAGGCCUUAACAUAAUUUAUUAAAAUAAUUUAAGUCAAGAUAAGUCAAUAAAAGCGAUCGUGCUAGAACCACGGGACUCGAGGGAUGCCUCACACCUUUCCCUCGGUCAACAGAAUUUCUUACCUGGUCCUCUAUUUUUGUAGACCAAUAAAAGAGUCAUUUUUUUUUAAUUAGGGAUUCAAAAAGGUGACUUGGACCACCAUAACUCAAUUCCAAGUGGUAACUCUAAAAAUGAUAAAAAUAAUUUCUAUUCAAAACCGUCACUUUAAUUGAAAAAAUUAAUUCGAUCCUCGAGCGAAAAAGGGGUGUGACAUCUCUAGAAACUCUGCUGAAAAAUAUUAGAAUUUGAGCUUUUAAUAUUGACUUUUACUUGCUUUAGUUAUUUUGAGAUUGUGUUUGUUGGCUUUAUGUGCUACUUGUCGCUCAUUUACUGCUUUAAUAUUGUUGAACUGUUUUUUAAAUUGUUUUCUCUUGCGCACCCUCCUCUGAGUCUCUGAAAUAGGAUAGAAGGAAUGCAACGUAAACAUCCUACUUUCUUCUUAAGAUAGCCGGAGUGUCAAGGCACCCGUUGAAGGAUUAUAGUCACACAUGUUAGGCGGGGUUCGGAUCGACAACGAAGGCGGAGUAGCACUGCUAACGAAUAAGUUGUCCCUCCCUGAAUCGAUGUCCGCUCGGGUAAGCCAGUCUAGACACUUAUCUCUAUCAGGCUAAACUUAUAAGAACUGAAAACUAAGAAUCUGAUUAUCCUAUUAGGUUCCGCUUUAUUUGCAUCAUAUGCAUUUGACAUAGCGGGACUCUACACAGGGGGUCGUGUAUGUCUAGGAUAGGUGUCCCUCUAUAAUGACCAACAUGUACAUCGUACGUGCUCUUUGACAUUUAUCUGGAAGGCUAUUUGAUUGCUGACCGGCUUUUAGGCAACUUGGUAAAAUACAAGAGAGCAUAUUGUCCUCAAAUUUAAUAAAUUAUUUUUCCAAAAAAUUUAAAAAUAUAUGUAAUUUUUUAAGGUCUUCAUGAACUACGAAGGUCUGAUUCUCACUAUUUAGUGGGAUACGUAGGAAGCCUUUUUCGGGGUGCGGCCCUAUCUUUUGAAAAAUUAUUUAUAGAUUUAUCGAAGAAUACUUUGAAAAUAUGAUUACUUUCAUAAUUAUUUUUCUAAUCCUCAAGUCCAAUUUUUAUCUUAAUAGCCCUGAAUCUUUAGCUAUCAUGAGGUUAAGUCUUUACAAAAUAAAAUAUAUAUAUAAAUUUUAACAGCCCUGAACCUUUAGGGGUCUUAAAGUUGAAUUUUGUAUGACAUAUAUUUCAAGAACUACACACACCUGAUUCUCACCUUGAUGAGAUACGUAGGCAACCCAUGCCGGGUUCGGUAAUAUUCUUAAGAAUUUUUUUUGAAAAUGUCAAGUUUUGACACAUUUGCUAUCUCAAAAAUCAAAAUAAUAUCAAGGUGGUUGAUUUGUGGCUAAAGUGGCAUCUCGCCAAUACAACACUAGGUUUAAAGAAUAGGCAAGAUAACACAUAAAAAUAGUAUAGGGUCUGAGAUGAGGUGGUGUAGACUGUUAAAAAUGAGGAAAUAGAAGAAAUGGCCAGGAAGGUGAGAAGUUUGGAGCAAAAUAAGAGAUACAUUCAAGUACUUGGAGGGGAAAAAAGAGUUUCUUACGAGGAUUUAUACAUGUUUCAUAAUGUUCACUUGCCUUUACAGUUCAAACACCAAAGUUGGACAUGUACGGAGGUCAUGGUGAUUCUUUGGCUCAUCUGAAAAUAUUUUGCAAUCAACUAAGAGUAGCAAGCAAAAAAAACUAUUGAUAACUUAUUUUGGAUAGAAUCCGGUGGAGAUAAAUAGUUUCAAAAUGGUUCAGGAUACUUUGGGCUUAAUAAAAAAUCCUGAUGAGGUAGCAAUGAUUAUGGAGACUUCAUUAAAGCUGACGUACAAAUCAGUGGCUAAGAUGUCAAACUCGAAAAUUCAGAAGUCACUUUUCUUCCCGUAAAAAGAAAGCCUUGGUAGUCUGUUUUGUUUUCCUUUCUAUUACCCGAAUUAUUUUAGGAUUGUAGUUCAGGAUCUAGCUCGUCUUAUUUUAUUAUUAUUUCUAUUCAAACCCUUUUAUCUUUAUGUCAACAAAUGUGUGUCCCUUUUAUUUUUACUUUCUUUUUCAAUAUAUAUUGUUUGAUUGUCUUUCUUUUCUUUAGAGAGCUCUUUCUAUGGUGAUUCUAGUGAUAUGAUAUGCAUUCUGAAUUUUUAUCGGAUCUUAAAAUCUAAUCUAAUCCUGGAACACUUGAUCAAGAAGAUAGAGUUGAAAGGAAAAAAUAUGUAAGGAAAUAAGUAAAGUGUUGAGGCAUUUGUUGACCGAGUUAAAGCCUCACUUGAAUGGAUUAAAGCAAUCGCUUUGUGUAUAAAAAAUGACCUAGUCAUCAACGAGAAGGUCCAUCUCAAGUACUUCAAAUGGAUCAGUCAGAGGUUAUAUAUUCUUCAUUUUCAGGAGAAGCAAAAGGAAAUUAGCUUAAAAAACGAAUGAGUCCUUUAAUGGUGGGAAUGUGAAUGUAAUUGGACCUUUAUGUUUGACAAGUGCAUAAGUAGUAACAUACAUGCUCAGUCGAGGUCAAUGUUAAAAAAAUGUGUGUGUGUGAUCUUUAUGUUCCACUCUCAGAUUGCAUGUUAAGUACUUGCAUUUUUAAGGAUUGAUAUGAUGAAAGCAUUUCAUUCUGCUACCCAAACGUUGUGUUAUCCUCUGUUACCCCAUUUGAGCUUAGUUUUAUUUUCUUUCUUACCCCUCUUUUGGAAUUAAAAUAGAGUUUGAAAAAUAAAAAAAGAGGGUGUCAAGAAAAACGAGUCAGAAAAAAUAUAAAAAAAAUGGAGUUGAAAAAAGUCCCAAAUGAGAAGAAUCAAAGAAAAGAGAAACAAAGAGCCAAAGUUCGAUAAAAAAAAAGCAAAAGAAUGACUUGUCUGAACUACGUUUGACCUGAUUUUUGCUAUGACAAGAUACGUAGGAAGUCCUACUCGGGGGUUCGGUCCAACCAAUUGAAAAUUCAAGUUACCCAGUAUGAAAUAAAAUUGGGGCAAAAAAAAUUAUUUUUCUUAAGAUUCAAUUCCAAAAGUUGUAUGCUUCACUCAAUGUUAUGUAAAAUUUUGAGCCUCAUGCCACCCUUUCUUUCUAACUCUAUCCAAAAGUCAAGUUAUAAUCAAAGAAAGUCCUUCAGAUCAAUCUGUGAGAAUGUCAAGGCUAAAGAUGUUAUGGGUGCAUGAUGUGUCAUAUUUUGGAUGUCGUUUUCCUAAAAAAAAAUAUAAUAAUAAAAAAAUGAGAGUCUUAUUGGUGAAAACCUUCUUUGGCACUAUAAGGCGACGUUGAGUUGUGAGAACAAUUAAAAAUGAGAGAGUUUUAUUGGUGAAAAUCCUCAUGGGCACCAUAAGGCGACAGUGAGUUGAAAAAGAAAUAAAAAUAGGAGUGGCUCAUUGGUGAAAACCCAUUGAGGUGCCACUAGCCUAAGGGGGAUUGAAAUCCAGAGGGAACAAGUUCAAGAAUGACUCCAUUCCAAAUUCAAUGAGCGGAAAAAAGUUGAUAGUUAUUAGUUUGGAUAUAUCAAGUUGUUUAAUUCAAAAUGCAUGUCAUAAUCACUAGAAUCAGCUGCCAUACCCAGAUAAGUUUUUCUUUUUGACAUUUUUGAAAAAAAGAGAUGUCUAUUAUCUUUUUCUUUUCUUUUUGUUAUUUUUAUCUUAUUUAUUUAUUUAUUUAUUUUUAUUUUAUUUUUGAUUUUUGUGUUUUUGUGGUCAAAAGAAAAAUCACUAUCGUCAUCUUUCACAUAUUUUUGAGUCAAAUUUAUAUUAAGACAAGUGAGGAAGGACUUCAAAACUUGCUACCAAUUCCUUCCAUGGUACAAAGCAAGAAAAAAGACCGACACACGAAGAUAACAUGUUUCAAAAUAAAUCAAAGUACUAAAGAAUGCAUGUCAUCCGAUAGUUUUUGGACUCAUAAAAGUAUGAAGGGUGUGUUUGAAGUUAAUCCCAGAAGCAUCAUGCAAGAGAAAUAUGAUUUGAGUCAAAAAGUUUCAGUAGAAAGAAUUUGGGGGUUAAAAGUGCAAGUCAAUGAUACUUAUCAAUGAUUGAAAUGGAGCUGAGUAUGAUAAGUGCAAGAAUGGUCACUUUAAGAGUCAGGUGCCACAAAUCAACGACCACAUUUUUAAACGAUAAUUUGUCUUUGUUUGAAAUAGAGAGAAAUAUUUCUCUCAAUUCAAAUGCUUUAAAGUUUAGCUAUUAACAAGAUGCAAUUUCUCACUUUUACAGAAGUAAGAAACAAUAUUGUUAUACAUGUUUGAUAAUCACAAUCAUAGUGAAAACUUAUCAUCCUAUACCCCUAGAAGACACACUUCCUUGUCUGGAUAUUUCAGUUUUUAUUUGUUAGGUAACACACUUCCUAACAUGAAUCAUUACUCCUAGAAGACGCACUUUCUAAUCGAGUCCUUUAUUUAACUCGUAGGAGACACACUUCCUAGUUUGAAUAUUUCAAGUUUUAUUUGUUAGGUAACACACUUCCUAACUUGAAUCUUCACUCCUAGAAGACACACUUUCUACUUGAGUCAUACCAUUUACCCCUAGGAGAUGCAUUUCCUUGUCUGGGUAAUUUCAGUUUCAUAAAUUAGGUGACACACUACGUAACUUGAACCUUCACUCCUAAAAGACGCACUUUCUAGUCGAGCCCUUUCAUUUAACUCCUAGGAGAUGCACUUUCUUGUUUGGGUAUUUUAAUUUUCAUGUGUUAGGUGACGUACUUGCUAACUUGAAUAUUCACUCCUAGAAGAAACACUUACUAGUUUAGUCAUUUCAUUUAACCCCUAGGAGACACACUUCCUAAAUAGGGUAUGUCAGUUUUCAUAUGUUAGGUAAUGCACUUGCUAACUUGAACAUUUACUCCUAGAAGACACACUUUCUAGUCGAGUCAUUUCAUUUAACCCCUAGGAGACGCACUUUUUUUUUUUGAGUAAUUUAAGUUUUCAUAUGUUAGGUGAUGCACUUCCUAACUUGAACCUUCACUCCUAGAAGACACUUUUUAGUUGAGUUAUUUUAUUUAACUCACUAGGAAACACACUUUUUUGUUUGGGUAAUUUAAGUUUCACGUGUUAGGAUCCGCACUUCCUAAUUUUGGUCAUUAGUUUUACUCUGAAAAGACACAUUUCUUUAGCAGGGCCUUGAUUCACCCUUUUUAGUGUACUUUUAAAAAGUUGUGAUUUCAUAACACUCACAAAAUUUUCUAGUGCAAACUGGGGCAAAAUUUUAUUCUUGUUUAAUAGAAUUUAUUAUUAUGCUCAGGUCCCUCUUGAAGAAUGGAAAUUUAUUUUAUAUUCAGGACCCUCCUGAAGAAUGGGACAGGACCCUCCUAAAGAAUGAGAAUUUAUUUUAUGCUCAGAUCCUUUCUGAUGAAUGGGACAAGACCCUCCUAAAGAAUGAGAAUUUAUUUUAUAUUCAGGACCCUCCUGAAGAAUGGGACGGGACCUUUCUGAAGAAUGAGAAUUUAUUUUAUGCUCAGGACCCCCCUGAAGAAUGGGAAUUUAUUUUAUGCUCAGGACCCUCAUGAAGAAUGGGACAGGAAUCUCCUGAAGAAUGAUAAUUUAUUUUAUGCUUAGGACCCUCCUGAAGAAUGAGAAUUUAUUUUAUGCUCAGGACCCUCCUGAAGAAUGGAAAUUUAUUUUUUGCUUAGGACCCUCCUGAAGAAUGGGAUGUUAUUUUUCUGUUUCACCUUUUAUUUUGAGUUCAGAAACAUAUUUGAAAAUCAGGAAAAGCAAGUCAGGAACCCGCCUGAAGAACAGGGUAAAGAAAAAAGCAAAUCAGGAGCCCGUCUGAAGAACAGGGUGAAGAAAUAGUAGAUCAGGAACCCGCCGGAAGAAUAGGGUGAAGAUUGUCAAGUUCAAGUCAGAGGAAAGUUUGAAGAAUAAAUCAAUGAUCAAGUUCCUCUCUAAUGUCAAAAGCCAACGAGAAGAAAAAUUUCGUGUUUCAAGUUCAAGUCAGAAUAACAACUAUCUCACCAUUUGAGAAGUCAUGAAGAUUCAAGUCAAGAUUCCAGAAAUACAGCAUAGAUAGGAUCUUUCACUUGCAUCUUCAUUUUAUUUUUUGUUAUUCAUUUUAAUGUAAAAGCAGAAAGUCAAAAAUUGAAAACUCGACGGAACCUCACUCGACCUCUAACUCGUCCUUUCGCCAUUUUACCUUUGAACUACAUGUGACUUGAUUCCCUUAAAACCUGGGAUGUGUAGGCGGUCCAAAAUCAGGACUCGGCCACAUCUUUUAUUUUAUUUUAUUUUAUUUUAUCUUCACUUUUAGAAUAAUCGGAGGGUCAAAAAUCAUCUCUUUGUCUACUUUUUUGCAUGAAAACUCUUCGAGAUUCAAACAAAGAGGGGCAAAAUAUAGACACGUGAUUUUGGCCCUUCUCGAGUUUAAUAUAUAUAUUUUUCGAUAUUAAAUAUUUAUAUUUGGUCCGAUAUUAUUUUAAUUCUUAUUUCAUUUUUAAUGAAUUUUUAGCUAAAAAUAAAUACAUAAAUAAAGUCACAUUUUGGGAUAUUUUAUUUUCAAUUGUUUAAAAUAAUAAUAAUAAAAAAAAUCAAAAAAAUAUAUAAAAAUAUAUUUCUCUUUUAAUUUUAAUAAAUAAGUUAGUAGUUUUAUUAUUAUAUUUAUUUUAGGCUAUUUAUAAAAUUUUAUUGUAUUUUAUUAAAUAUAAAAUUAAUUAUUUAAUAUUUUUUAAUUAUUAUUAAUAUUAUUUAUUUUUAUAUAUGUUAAUUAAUUUAUUUAUUUAUAUAUAUAUUUUUUAAAAAAUAAGUGAAAUCUUAUCCAUAGAACCACCCCAACUUCCCCAUAUGCACACUCCCCUUUUUCCUCUCAACUCCUCCCUCCACAUGUUCUCAACUUCCUACACUUGUAACACGUACCCACUACACUAUAAAAAAGGCUCAAGACAAUACACACAAGGACGGACAAAAACCAAAAAACGAGAGACAACACUGGAAAAACAAAAACAAUAAAAAGAAAAACACUUGGAGAAGAAAAAAGGGAGACAACACAAUACAUACACACAACAAAGAUACCGUACAACAUUUGAGACAAAGAAAAGGGAAGAAAACAAAGGAAAGAAAGGGUUGCAAAUCAAAUUUUGGGUCUCCGUUUGAGUUUUCGAUAACGGCGUUCUUGCUUCCAUACUCAAUUUAGUUUGCUAUACAGAUUUUAUUCAAUUUCUACAUUAUUUAUAUGUUUUUUUUUUUUUUUUUAUCACAAUUCGAUGUAUGAAUAAUAUCUUUUAAAUGGUUUUAUGCAUCAUGUAGUAUGAAAAUUUAAUUAUUUAUGUGAGAUCUCAUCUUUAACAUUGUCCGAUCUUAGAUUUCAAUAUUACUUCCUAUUUACAUUAAAUAUAUAUAAGUAGA
This 8771-nucleotide long non-coding RNA is filed under the name Capsicum annuum. RNAcentral describes it as "long non-coding RNA (CANN_LNC014619)". Lineage: Eukaryota; Viridiplantae; Streptophyta; Magnoliopsida; Solanales; Solanaceae. The record is from RNAcentral.